UGGGGAAUAUUGCACAAUGGGCGCAAGCCUGAUGCAGCCAUGCCGCGUGUGUGAAGAAGGCCUUCGGGUUGUAAAGCACUUUCAGCGAGGAGGAAGGGUAGUGUGUUAAUAGCACAUUGCAUUGACGUUACUCGCAGAAGAAGCACCGGCUAACUCCGUGCCAGCAGCCGCGGUAAUACGGAGGGGGCAAGCGUUAAUAGGAAUUACUGGGCGUAAAGCGCACGCAGGCGGUUUGUUAAGUCAGAUGUGAAAUCCCCGCGCUUAACGUGGGAACUGCAUUUGAAACUGGCAAGCUAGAGUCUUGUAGAGGGGGGUAGAAUUCCAGGUGUAGCGGUGAAAUGCGUAGAGAUCUGGAGGAAUACCGGUGGCGAAGGCGGCCCCCUGGACAAAGACUGACGCUCAGGUGCGAAAGCGUGGGGAGCAAACA
Molecule: ribosomal RNA, 427 nt
Filed under: uncultured bacterium
Lineage: Bacteria
Description: partial 16S ribosomal RNA
Rfam family: Bacterial small subunit ribosomal RNA
Source: RNAcentral